AGGAAUUAAUACCCCCAUAAUAUAAUGACUGGCAUCAGUGAUUAUUGAAAACUCCGGUGGAUAGAUGGGCACGCGCAAGAUUAGAUAGUUGGUGAGGUAACGGCUCACCAAGUCUGCGAUCUAAGGGGCCUGAGAGGGUGAUCCCCCACACUGGUACUGAGACACGGACCAGACUCCUAGGAGGCAGCAGUGAGGAAUAUUGGACAAUGGGUGAGAGCCUGAUCCAGCCAUCCCGCGAAGGACGACGGCCCUAUGGGUUGUAAACUUCUUUUGUAUAGGGAUAAACCUUUCCACGUGGAAAGCUGAAGGUACUAUACGAAUAAGCACCGGCUAACUCCGUGCCAGCAGCCGCGAAUACGGAGGGUGCAAGCGUUAUCCGGAUUUAUUGGGUUUAAAGGGUCCGUAGGCGGGCGUAAGUCAGUGGUGAAAUCUCAUAGCUUAACUAUGAAACUGCCAUUGAUACUGCGAGUUGAGUAAGGUAGAAGUAGCUGGAAUAAGUAGUGUAGCGGUGAAAUGCAUAGAUAUUAUAGAACACCAAUUGCGAAGGCAGGUUACUAUGUCUUAACUGACGCUGAUGGACGAAAGUGGGGAGCGAACAGGAUUAGAUACCCUGGUAGUCCACGCCGUAAACGAUGCUAACUCG
This 643-nucleotide ribosomal RNA is filed under the name uncultured bacterium. RNAcentral's name for it is "bacterial SSU rRNA". It matches the Rfam family "Bacterial small subunit ribosomal RNA", at positions 158 to 819 of the family's 1533-position model. The record is from RNAcentral.